Long non-coding RNA from Leptidea sinapis, 773 nucleotides. RefSeq lists it as uncharacterized. The record is from RefSeq and is a predicted model, not a curated record. The transcript is spliced from 4 exons. Lineage: Eukaryota; Metazoa; Arthropoda; Insecta; Lepidoptera; Pieridae.
UCAUUGACAUAAAAUCCUCGUGUCAUAUAUCGCAUACAUAUAUAUGUAUGUUGUAUAUAUGUCGACCUAUAAAAGACGACAGCGGGAUCGCGGACGACAGUAUAUUUUCAAGUGCCGGUUUGUCGUUGUGUAUUUUAUAUUAAAUUAUAAGGUGAAAAUGAAACUCUGCCUGAUUGCUUUUGGAGUACUGGUGGCAUGUACCAUGUCACUAGCUCUUGAAAAUGGACCAAUAAUUGGUGCUCUGCAGCCGGCACCAAAGGAUGUGGUAUUAGUAGAAUCUGGACCAGCUAACAACAGGCAAAAGAGAUUCUUAUUAGGAGGUGGUCUACUUGGAGCUGGACUCGCUGCAGGUGCUGUGGGUCUUGGUGCUGGUGUGAUCGGCGCUAAGGCAGGAUUCGUUGGUGGAGCUUUGGCUUCCGGCGCACUUCACAGCGGAAGGAGUUACGGCGGUUACGGUUACGGCGGAGGUUACGGAUACGGCGGCGGCUAUGGUGGCGGCUAUGGAGGCUAUGGCGGCGGCUAUGGUGAUUACGGUUACGGACGAAGCCUCUAUGGUUACGGCCACAGCCCCUAUGGUUACGGAGGAUAUGGGGGUUACGGUGGAUACAGGUCUUACUAUCCGACAACCUAUGUGUCUUAUGAUCCUUGGUGCUAGAUGACUAUUGUAGACAUUUUGUGUGUGUUCAAAUUAAUGAUAUUGAUGCCCAAUAUUGACUGAAUUGUACAAGUUAAUUGUAAGUAUACAAGAUAAAUAAAACGAUUGUCUACAAUAA